Molecule: ribosomal RNA, 301 nt
Filed under: uncultured bacterium
Lineage: Bacteria
Description: partial 16S ribosomal RNA
Rfam family: Bacterial small subunit ribosomal RNA
Source: RNAcentral
CAGCAGCCACGGGAAUACGAAGGGUGCAAGCGUUAUCCGGAAUGAUUGGGCGUAAAGCGUCUGUAGGUGGCUUUUCAAGUCCGCCGUCAAAUCCCAGGGCUCAACCCUGGACAGGCGGUGGAAACUACCGAGCUGGAGUACGGUAGGGGCAGAGGGAAUUUCCGGUGGAGCGGUGAAAUGCGUUGAGAUCGGAAAGGACACCAACGGCGAAAGCACUCUGCUGGGCCGACACUGACACUGAGAGACGAAAGCUAGGGGAGCAAAUGGGAUUAGAUACCCGUGUAGUCCCUGUCUCUUAUAC